Molecule: ribosomal RNA, 1431 nt
Filed under: uncultured bacterium
Lineage: Bacteria
Description: 16S ribosomal RNA
Rfam family: Bacterial small subunit ribosomal RNA
Source: RNAcentral
CAGGCUUGACACAUGCAAGUCGAGGGGCAGCAUGGUCUUAGCUUGCUAAGGCCGAUGGCGACCGGCGCACGGGUGAGUAACACGUAUCCAACCUGCCGUCUACUCUUGGACAGCCUUCUGAAAGGAAGAUUAAUACAAGAUGGCAUCAUGAGUCCGCAUGUUCACAUGAUUAAAGGUAUUCCGGUAGACGAUGGGGAUGCGUUCCAUUAGAUAGUAGGCGGGGUAACGGCCCACCUAGUCUUCGAUGGAUAGGGGUUCUGAGAGGAAGGUCCCCCACAUUGGAACUGAGACACGGUCCAAACUCCUACGGGAGGCAGCAGUGAGGAAUAUUGGUCAAUGGGCGAGAGCCUGAACCAGCCAAGUAGCGUGAAGGAUGACUGCCCUAUGGGUUGUAAACUUCUUUAUAAGANGAAUAAAGUCGGGUAUGGAUACCCGUUUGCAUGACUUUUGAAAAUAAGGAUCGGCUAAUUCCGUGGCAGCAAGCCGCGGUAAUACGGAAGAUCCGAAGGUUUUCCGGGAUUUUAUGGGGUUUAAAGGGGAGCGUAGAAGGAUGUUAAAGUCAGUUGUGAAAUUUGCGGGGUCAACCUUAAAAUUUCAGUUGAUACUGGAUAUCUGGAGUGCAGUUUGAGGCAGGCGGAAAUUUGUGGUGUAGCGGUGAAAUGCUUAGAUAUCACGAAGAACUCCGAUUGCGAAGGCAGCCUGUUAAGCUGCAACUGACAUUGAGGCUCGAAAGUGUGGGUAUCAAACAGGAUUAGAUACCCUGGUAGUCCACACGGUAAACGAUGAAUACUCUCUGUUUGCGAUAUACUGCAAGCGGCCAAGCGAAAGCGUUAAGUAUUCCACCUGGGGAGUACGCCGUCAACGGUGAAACUCAAAGGAAUUGACGGGGGCCCGCACAAGCGGAGGAACAUGUGGUUUAAUUCGAUGAUACGCGAGGAACCUUACCCGGGCUUAAAUUGCAGAUGAAUUGCGGUGAAAGCCGUAAGCCGCAAGGCAUCUGUGAAGGUGCUGCAUGGUUGUCGUCAGCUCGUGCCGUGAGGUGUCGGUUUAAGUGCCAUAACGAGCGCAACCCUUGUUGUCAGUUACUAACAGGUUGCGUUGAGGAUUCUGACAAGACUGCCAUUGUAAGAUGUGAGGAAGGUGGGGAUGACGUCAAAUCAGCACGGCCCUUACGUCCGGGGCUACACACGUGUUACAAUGGGGGGUACAGAGGGCCGCUACCACGCGAGUGGAUGCCAAUCCCCAAAACCUCUCUCAGUUCGGACUGGAGUCUGCAACCCGACUCCAUGAAGUUGGAUUUGAUAGUAAUCGUGCAUCAGCCACGGCGCGGUGAAUACGUUCCCGGGCCUUGUACACUCCGCCCGUCAAGCCAUGGGAGCCGGGGGUACCUGAAGUGCGUAUCCGCGAGGAGCGCCUUAGGGUAAAACUGGU